Long non-coding RNA from Mus musculus (house mouse), 697 nucleotides. RefSeq annotates it as predicted gene, 34698. Lineage: Eukaryota; Metazoa; Chordata; Mammalia; Rodentia; Muridae. The transcript is spliced from 5 exons. The record is from RefSeq and is marked validated.
GAACACAGUGCAAGGAGCCAUGCUGUGACACAGUGUCCUGGAUGACAUCUGCUGGAGAUGGACCAAACCGUGCAUUUGACACAGGUAGGGGCACGCAUGGCCGAGCACUCGCUGUCACAGUGGGAAGAAUUUAUGUUUGCAUUUGCCUCUCGUCCCUUCUCACAUAUGGUCUUCCAGGCCUUUGGGAAUUCCAUGGAGAAGGGGAAGGAGAGUUCUGAAAGGAGCUUGCCGUGCCAAGGGAGCCAGUGCUGAAUAAAGAUGAGCUUGCCAUUCCUCCCUGACUCACAGCAAUAGGUAAGCCAGUCCAGAAAAUCCCUCAAAGACAUGCCAAGAGAUGUAUCUCCAAAGUGAUUCUGGGUUCUGUCAAGUUGACAAUCAAGAUCAACCAUCACAAAUGUAAAUCAUGAUGUCAAGAGGGGAUCCUCAAGCCAUCUGAGUUCCCAGGGAGAAUACCUACAGCCCAAGUGAACAUUGUGUCAGAAGAGUAAAAACAGAAAACUUUAACAAUGUGAACGGAGCGUUGAUAAAAUAGGAUCAGAGGUCCCUAUAAAAAGGUGCCAGACCCUCUGGAGUUGGCAUUCCAGACAGCUGCGAGUCUACCCUAUGUAAGUGCUGGUGACUGAGUUCCUGUGCUUUGCAAGAAAAGUAAGCUCUCUUAACCACUGUGCCAUCUCUCUAAACCUGUUGUUGUUGUUGU